This 250-nucleotide ribosomal RNA is filed under the name uncultured bacterium. RNAcentral's name for it is "partial 16S ribosomal RNA". It matches the Rfam family "Bacterial small subunit ribosomal RNA", at positions 524 to 773 of the family's 1533-position model. The record is from RNAcentral.
UACGCAGGGUGCGAGCGUUAAUCGGAAUUACUGGGCGUAAAGGGUGCGCAGGCGGCCCUACAAGUUUGGUGUGAAAUCCCUGGGCUUAACCUAGGAACUGCACUGAAGACUGUAAGGCUAGAGUGUGCUAGAGGGGGGUGGAAUUCCUGGUGUAGCAGUGAAAUGCGUAGAGAUCAGGAGGAACACCGAUGGCGAAGGCAGCCCCCUGGGGCAGCACUGACGCUCAUGCACGAAAGCGUGGGGAGCAAAC